This 253-nucleotide ribosomal RNA is filed under the name uncultured bacterium. RNAcentral's name for it is "partial 16S ribosomal RNA". It matches the Rfam family "Bacterial small subunit ribosomal RNA", at positions 524 to 776 of the family's 1533-position model. The record is from RNAcentral.
UACGUAGGGUGCAAGCGUUACUCGGAAUUACUGGGCGUAAAGCGUGCGCAGGCGGUUUUGUAAGUCUGUCGUGAAAUCCCCGGGCUCAACCUGGGAAUGGCGAUGGAGACUGCAAGGCUAGAGUUUGGCAGAGGGGGGUAGAAUUCCACGUGUAGCAGUGAAAUGCGUAGAUAUGUGGAGGAACACCGAUGGCGAAGGCAGCCCCCUGGGUCAAAACUGACGCUCAUGCACGAAAGCGUGGGGAGCAAACAGG